This is a long non-coding RNA of Brassica oleracea var. oleracea, 1138 nucleotides long. RefSeq lists it as uncharacterized. The transcript has 4 exons. The record is from RefSeq and is a predicted model, not a curated record. NCBI's taxonomy places the organism in Eukaryota, Viridiplantae, Streptophyta, Magnoliopsida, Brassicales, Brassicaceae.
CGUUUCUUCAGACGAGAUUGUCUUCUCAUCUUCCAUUCCUUCUUCCAUCUCUCAUAGUUAUAUAUUCACCCAUAAAGUCACUUACAAUAGAUCGAUUCGAUUAUUUGAUUCAAUAUCAUAACCUCCACUUCGGUUCCAAAUACAAUUUUCCAGUUUUAAAAUUUACUCCGACUCGGGAGUACUCCGGUAAAUCAUGGGGUUUGGGAUUUCCGUCUAACCAUGUAUCAGAUCCCUGUUUGUUUCAUCAUCCCUCAAACCAGAGAAAAAUGAGUCGUACCAUGGUGAAGAAGGCCUCAAACCCUAACCAAAUCAGAACCGGAGCUGAACGCAAGAGAUCUUUGGGGAGAUCUUUGGCCUCAGGUAUGUCCUUGAAGACGACAGUGCCGGCGAAUGCAGCGCAGCCCAUACUCGAAAGAAAUGAACGUCAUUGAUGGUUGCUGGCUCAUGGCACCGCAACUGGCUCGAGAAUAUCUUGAACCCAACCACGGAUCAGCUACAAGGCCAUCUUUCCUCUGUUUUCCUAGUAUGCAGCUGGCGAGGAAAUGAUUGUCUAACUCGAUAUCGUGACCCUUUCCCUGUCUGUAUGGAAAGAAAAUGCACUGUAGCUUCUGGUGAUGUAUCAAUUCUUCACUACCGAGCUUAACUAGAACACUGAAUUGAUUGUGUAGAUAUAACAUGAUCUGGUCAUGAGUUCUGACCUAGGAACCAUAAGCAUAACAUCGUCAAAGACAUCACAAGCCACACCAGGGUCAUACCCAUGCCCUCUCUCUCUCUCUCUCUCUCUCUCUCUCGCUACGACAUUAUCUAUUUCACCAAGCUUUCCAAUACAACAACAACAAGACAAGCAACAUCAUCAAGAACAAGUAUGCAGAAUGCAGCGAAGGCUCUAUACUACAAGUUGUUACUAAAAAUAAAUAGAAUAAGCAGUUAACUGAAACUCCUUUAAGAGCUUCUGUGUCAUCUACUCUAUAUGAAGUAGAGGGUGAGAGAGUUGGUGUAUCUGUUAAGAGUGGGCUAUAUGAGGUACUAUCGUUCUCUGCACUGCAGUGUUUUAGAAUUUUCAUUUAAAUUUUAUCAUGUUGAAAUUUCAGAGUCUUUAUAUCCAAUCAAUGUAUCUUACCAAGGAACCAGAAUAGUG